CAUUGACUAGGUUUCUUAUAUCUGCACUAGAAUAUCCAACUGUCUGAAACACAAGUUGUACAGGAAGAGAAAAGUAAAAUACGGUAAAUGGCUUUACCACUCAUUGAGCAUAUUUAAGCAACUAUCUCAGUACUAAGUGCCGUGUAAGGCAAGUUAAAAGGUAACUAAAACUCGACAAGAGAAUACAGACGAAGAGAGUA
RNAcentral lists this long non-coding RNA (200 nucleotides) under Olea europaea (common olive). Its description in RNAcentral is "long non-coding RNA (OEUR_LNC000950)". Lineage: Eukaryota; Viridiplantae; Streptophyta; Magnoliopsida; Lamiales; Oleaceae. The record is from RNAcentral.